GGAAUCGGCCGGGAACCGAUCCCGGGCCGACCGCGUGGCAGGCGAGCAUUCUACCACUGAACCACCGAUGC
RNAcentral lists this transfer RNA (71 nucleotides) under Cordylochernes scorpioides. RNAcentral describes it as "tRNA-Gly". Lineage: Eukaryota; Metazoa; Arthropoda; Arachnida; Pseudoscorpiones; Chernetidae. The record is from RNAcentral.